RNAcentral lists this ribosomal RNA (252 nucleotides) under uncultured bacterium. RNAcentral's name for it is "partial 16S ribosomal RNA". It matches the Rfam family "Bacterial small subunit ribosomal RNA", at positions 524 to 776 of the family's 1533-position model. The record is from RNAcentral.
CACGUAGGGAGCAAGCGUUGUCCGGAAUUAUUGGGCGUAAAGCGCGCGCAGGCGGCCUUGUAAGUCUGUCGUUUAAACUCGGAGCUCAACUUCGAGUCGCGAUGGAAACUGCAAAGCUUGAGUGCAGAAGAGGAAAGUGGAAUUCCACGUGUAGCGGUGAAAUGCGUAGAGAUGUGGAGGAACACCAGUGGCGAAGGCGACUUUCUGGGCUGUAACUGACGCUGAGGCGCGAAAGCGUGGGGAGCAAACAGG